AACGAACGCUGGCGGCAGGCCUAACACAUGCAAGUCGAACGCCGUAGCAAUACGGAGUGGCAGACGGGUGAGUAACACGUGGGAACGUACCCUUCGGUUCGGGAUAACUCAGGGAAACUUGAGCUAAUACCGGAUAAGUCCGAGAGGAGAAAGAUUUAUCGCCGAGGGAUCGGCCCGCGUCUGAUUAGCUUGUUGGUGAGGUAACGGCUCACCAAGGCGACGAUCAGUAGCUGGUCGAGAGGAUGAUCAGCCACAUUGGGACUGAGACACGGCCCAAACUCCUACGGGAGGCACCAGUGGGGAAUAUUGGACAAUGGGCGCAAGCCUGAUCCAGCCAUGCCGCGUGAGUGAUGAAGGCCCUAGGGUUGUAAAGCUCUUUUACCCGGGAAGAUAAUGACUGUACCGGGAGAAUAAGCCCCGGCUAACUUCGUGCCAGCCGCCGCCGU
RNAcentral lists this ribosomal RNA (446 nucleotides) under uncultured bacterium. RNAcentral's name for it is "bacterial SSU rRNA". It matches the Rfam family "Bacterial small subunit ribosomal RNA", at positions 29 to 521 of the family's 1533-position model. The record is from RNAcentral.